CAUAUUUAUGAUGUAUUUAUUAAUCAUAAUUUAGGAUGUAUUUGCAUUUGAGCAGAUGGUUUGUAAAGCAAUGUACGAUUAUGACGCAGUUGACACGGACGAGGUUGAUAUGCGAGAGGGAGAUUUGAUCGUAUUCUGUAAGCAGUUUGAAGCUGGAUGGUCUGAAGGCACGGUAGAGAGAACCGGAAAGCGUGGAUUUUUACCUUCAAAUUAUGUGGAGAAAAUCAACUAGGCGCUUUUUUAAAUGAAAAUUUAAUCAUUUUUUUAAAAUGUGUAUAGAACAUGUAUAUAACUAUGUGUGUUAAGAUAAGUUGUUAACCUAAAGCCUAAGGCGAGUCAGAACCAGAAUUGCAUUAAAGUUGUGAUGGAAAACGUGAUAAUUAUGUUGUUACUACUUAACAGAGCCUUUAUGUUAAAUAAAUUUUUUUAAAGUUUUUUAAAAAAUCAAAACUUAAGAUAGAUGCUUUUGAACAGUUUUUUUUUUUUUGCUUUUUCUAGAGCAAGACAAAAUAGUGUGAUGUCUUCUUGAAAUCUUCCACAUUGGUAAGACAGUUAUAAAAAUGUUUAAGUACAAAUCUGCAUGGAGAACAAAGUCAGUGCCUGCUCAGGCAAAGAUAAGUUUUGGGAGUUUUCGUAAGAUGAUUUUUGGUAUGGGUACAUGUAGUUUCGCAGGAAAAGAAGCCCAGACCAGUCUGCCUAAUGUGUACAUAGCUGUUGCAAUUUCUUUCACAUCCAUAAUUAAUGUUUUUUGGAGAGAAAAAAAGGGUUCUUGUAAAAAUUAAAAUAAAUCAUCCACGGUUUUUAAUAUUGAUAUUCAAGAGUUUCAUUCUUUUCUCUGUAGUCCAUAUCGGUUUCAAACUUGCUUCUUGAAUUCUUUGUUGUUGAUUUUUUUCCCACAUCUUUUUUAAAGAGGAAUAGAGGAAUAUUUUAUUAGCCUACAUACGUACCACUACCUUAGAGCGUAAAUGUAGUUUUGAACAAAUAUUUUUCAGAACAUCAAAAUUAACCUGCUGGGAACAAAAAUUGUAAAUCCUUGACCAGGUUGUAUACAGUUCAUUUUAGAUAAGUAAAUUUUGUUAUUAGUUUAGAUUUUUUUUAUAAAAAGAUAUAUCUUAGUUUUAAAAGUUGCCAUAUUUUGAAUAGAUAGGAGAGAGGGAAAAGGGCUUGCGAUUUGAGUAUCAUUUUCGUUUUGUUCCUCAGACUAUGAAUUUAUUUUUGUCAUAUUUUGUUGUUGUUUUUAUUACUUUUUUCUGUUCUUAAUUCAAUGAUCAGAUUGACUACAUGUGUUUGACAGUGUUUUUUUUUUUUUUUGCAUGUUUUUUUAUCAUUCAUUUUUGCAAGGAUUGUUUUUUAUUAUGAUUUUCUUUCAUGGACAUUUCCACAGACAGUAUUUUUGUUGUCAUUGUUCUCUUGUGAGACAUUUUAAGAAAAUUGCUAAAGUUUUAGUGAUGCAUUAGCUAGCAUCAUAGUGAAUGUGUGAAUUUAAAAGAACAAAAGCAUCCCGAAACAUUAGAAAUGAAAUAAGAAAAAAAAAACUUGUGCAGUUUUCCAAGAUAUUCAAAUGUAAAGCAGCUUCAUUCUUUCCCAAAAAAGCAAUUUUAGUGAUAAGUCUUACAAAAAAAAAAAAAAAAGGCUAAGCCUCUUCCAAAUUAAGAGAGUAAAAACUCCUUUUUGAAACAGAAAAAAAACAACAAAUAUUAAAUUUUGAUCAUUAAUGUGUGAAUUCAGGCUGUGUUAAAUACCAAUAACUAUAUUUAAGUCUUUGGGGUUUGUUUUAAGAAAAAGGUUUUGUUGUUAUUAUUUUAAGCAAAAAAUUACUAGGUUAAACUGUUUUAUCAAUUUUGUAUAUUUAAAAGGCAUCUAGUAUUUUAUGUCAACCCUCAUCUGAUAAUGCAAUACUACUUAUCUAUAUAUGCUUAUCUAAGUUAUUUCAUAUGAAUCUUCCAUAAACAAUUUCGAAUGUGUAUCGAAUACUGCUAUUUAUAUAUAUAUAUGAAGCCUUGGAUUGUAUGCUCAAUGCAACACCUAGUGAAUUAACUAAUUCUGGUGCAAUUUCGGUAUGCAGUCAUAGUGGCGUGUCUUGGAAACACGAUUUUCGAUUGUCUCUUUUUAUUAAGGGUGUAUCAUAAAAAAAAUGUUAACACAGAUGUUUUUAAAACUGAAACUUUGUUAAGGCUUGUUUUAAAGCUAGAUAGUAGAAUUUAGAUGUUUUUAUAUUAGAAGUGUGUGGUGGAGAAUGGAGUAAAAUGUAGCCCUUUUGUACCCAUAAAAUAAUAAGUUGUUGUUCCAAAAAUUGUUAAUUAGUUGUAUAUUAAUUUCAACAUUUCUAAAAUAAGUUUUUGAAUUCUAAACAUUUUCAAGUGUAAUGUUUGGCAAAUGGGGUUCAUAAAUCGGUGGAAUUUAUAUUGUUUUUGGCUUAAUCUUUAGCCUGUAGGAAACAAAAUUGAUUACCCUUUACCACCAGAAAAGAGCCAGGCCAGUCUGCACAACCAUUGCAUCAGCCCAGGCUCUACACUGUAUUAGUAGCUAAAUUUUUGUAUUUUGAUACAGAAUUCCAUUAAAUUUUGAAUGGACCGCUCCAAAUUGAAAGCUGGGCAAAUUGUUUAUACAAAUAACAGGUUGAACUGAAAAAAGUGCUUAAGUAAAGGGAUAAAAAGGUCAUAACAAUUUCUCCAUGGAGUAGAAAACAAACCCUGAUAUUAUUUUGUGGGUAUCACAAGGGUUUUCAACGUUUGUAUGAGUGAAGAAGGUUUUUCAUUGCUUGGAGUUUUAAAAGUGUCCUGAUUCAUCAUGUGUUUGUCUUUCAUGUUAAGUUUUGUUUUUGUCAAGUUUAGAUUGUGUAUAUGUAUGGUAUAUAGGUGGGCUUUUUUAACUGGAUGGUAUAUAUAUGUGUGUAUUAUCUAGCUAGGUGGCAUAUAUGUGUAUUAUCUAAUUAGGUGGUAUAUAUGACUAUUUCCUAGCUAGGUGCACUAUCUGAUUAUGUGGAAUGUGUGUAUUAUCUAGCUGGGUGGUAUAUAACUGUAUUAUCUAGCUGGGUGGUAUAUAACUGUAUUAUCUAGCUGGGUGGUAUAUAACUGUAUUAUCUAGCUGGGUGGUAUAUAACUGUAUUAUCUAGCUGGGUGGUAUAUAACUCGUAUUAUCCUAGCUGGGUGGUAUAUAACUGUAUUAUCUAGCUGGGUGGCAUAUAACUGUAUUAUCUAGCUGGGUGGUAUAUAACUCGUAUUAUCCUAGCUGGGUGGUAUAUAACUGUAUUAUCUAGCUGGGUGGUAGAUAACUCGUAUUAUCCUAGCUGGGUGUUAUAUAACUCGUAUUAUCCUAGCUGGGUGGUAUAUAACUGUAUUAUCUAGCUGGGUGGUAUAUAACUGUAUAAUCUAGCUGGGUGGUAUAUAACUGUAUUAUCUAGCUGGGUGGUAUAUAAUGUAUUAUCUAGCUGGGUGGUAUAUAACUCAUAUUAUCUAGCUGGGUGGUAUAUAACUCGUAUUAUCUAGCUGGGUGGUAUAUAACUCGUAUUAUCCUAGCUGGGUGGUAUAUAACUCGUAUUAUCCUAGCUGGAUGUUACACAUGUAGACUAUCUGGCUUGGUGGUAAUCUGUAUUAUCCAGCUGGAUGGUAUAUAACUUCUUUUUCCCUAGCUUGGUGAUAUACAUGAGCACUAUCUGGCUGGGUGGUAUACAACCUGUUUUUAUCUAGCUUGAUGGUAUAUAUUGUUCCUCUAUCUUCCUUUAACCGUUAUAUGUGUCUGAAUUAAAACAGUUUAUAUAAAUUAAAUAUGUGAGAUAAGAAGUCAUUUUAGCAUUGGUCUUUAGAUGGAAUCUCCUAAAUUGUUUCUUUCAUUGAAAGUCUGUGCCCUUUUAAAAGGAGUCGGAAAUUUAAGGCUAUAUAAAUCAAACAUUAUAGAUUUGUGAAAGUGUUUAAAGUAACACAAAAAGUCAUGACUUCAACAUGGCAUCUUGAAUAAAAAGAAAGUCGUUUCCAGUGUCAAUAACCUUUUUAGUUAAUCAUUGAUAAAGAAUGCUUCUGUGUUAAAGAUAGGCUGUUUAUUCAAUUGCUAUGUUGUUACUCGUUGCUAUGCUGUUAGUUAAUGUGUUUUCUGCCUUUAAAUGUGAUCUAUUCUGUUGGCUUUUAAAAUCUUUUAUUCCUUACUCUAUAUUCACUUAUAUACAAGGAGUUAGCAGUUUUAAGGGUAUAUUUUUCAUUGUUUCUUGUUGACUGUUAUAGUGAAAUUAAAAAGUAUAGUGGCAUUCUGAUAACAGCUAAAACAUACUAAAUGAGGAAAAAUUGCAAAGAUCGUUAAAUAGUAACAACCUCAAAUUUAGUCAGAAUUUCACAGGAGUGAGAAUUAAAUAUUUAAGUUAUUUCAAAUUUUACUAAAAUUCGAUGCAGAAUAAAGGUUUAUUGCUACAAUUGAAAAAUUUUGUGCAACAAAUAUAUUGCCCUAUUAUAAAUAUUUUGUAAUUAUUAAUUUAUGAUGCUCGUUUUAUUUGUACAAAAUUGCUAACUCCUUCGCCUGUAUCUACGCACAGACGUUUGUUCUUUUUGUUUUAGAAAUAAGUGGUCUACGGGUAUUUGAUCGACCUAAAAAGUUUAUUUAUAGAGUUACUAAAAUAGAUGAAAUAGAGAAUUUAUUCAGGAUAGUUUGUAUAUUAAGUUUUUAUCUAAAAUUUAAUCACAGGUUUAUAUGGCAUUGUUAAUUGUUUUUAUUUUUGUAUGUAUAGGGUAUCAAUUUUGCAAUAUAUAUAUAAAUGAAAUUAAUUGAACAAUACUAUCAUUUUUUGAUCACGAAAUGUGAAAAAUAUCAAUCCAAACAGACCAGAUUUUGUUAAGUUCCUAUUCAUGCUUUAUCACCACUUUUUCAUGAGGAACUUUUACAACAAAACUGCAUUGUGAUUUCUGUAAUAUUUUUAGAACAGGUCACAAUGUUGUUCUGUUCAACACUCUCUCUGUCCCCAGUUUUUAUCACUAGCCCAGUCUGCAAUUUAUUUAACUGCCAUUGUAUUUAUGAGAAGUGCUUAUGCCCUCCCCCUUUUCUCUUUGUACCUUCCAGCACAAAUAUAUUCAGAACUUUCUUCUUAUUGGCACAAUUUCUAAAUUAUUUUUUUUUGUAAAGAGAAUGCAUGCCUCUUUAAGUAACCGUAAGCUUUGAAUUGUUUGUUUAUAUUCAUGUCAUGUGUUUUUUCCAUAGCACAAAAAUUCUUUUGCAAGGAAACCUUUAAAAUGAGUAAACUUAAUGUAGUUUAAUUGAUGAUGAAAUAUCGCAACAGAAUUAGAGACUAUGUAUUUCGCAAUUAUGUAAUGAUAUUUACUAGUAAUUUAUUAUACUCGGUGUUUUCAGAUUAUAUAAUCUAACUUACUUUGAUUUCUAUAACUUGCUGGGUCAUUUGUACAACAAUGUAAUCUUCACAUUAGUUUAUAAUAAAUUAAAAGGAUGAAAUGGA
Ruditapes philippinarum (Manila clam) is the source of this 5434-nucleotide long non-coding RNA. RefSeq lists it as uncharacterized. The record is from RefSeq and is a predicted model, not a curated record. The transcript is spliced from 2 exons. Lineage: Eukaryota; Metazoa; Mollusca; Bivalvia; Venerida; Veneridae.